GCACUGGAGGACCGAACCCAAGUAUGUUGAAAAAUGCUGGGAUGAGCUGUGGAUCGGAGUGAAAGGCUAAUCAAACCGGGAGAUAGCUGGUUCUCCUCGAAAUCUAUUUAGGUAGAGCGUCAUCCGAAUACCCUCGGGGGUAGAGCACUGGAUGGGCUAGGGGGCCCCAACGGCUUACCAAACCUAACCAAACUCCGAAUACCGAGGAGUACUAGAUGGCAGACACACUACGGGUGCUAAGGUCCGUAGUGGAGAGGGAAACAGCCCUGACCGCCAGCUAAGGUCCCUAAGUUAUCACUAAGUGGGAAACGAUGUGGGAGUGCUUAGACAACCAGGAGGUUGGCUUAGAAGCAGCCACCCUUUAAAGAAAGCGUAAUAGCUCACUGGUCGAGUCGGCCUGCGCGGAAGAUGUAACGGGGCUAAGCAAUAUACCGAAGCUGCGGCAGCACGUAUGUGCUGGGUAGGGGAGCGUUGUGUAAGUGGAUGAAGGUGAAUCGAGAGG
RNAcentral lists this ribosomal RNA (502 nucleotides) under Karlodinium veneficum. Its description in RNAcentral is "partial Bacterial large subunit ribosomal RNA". It matches the Rfam family "Bacterial large subunit ribosomal RNA", at positions 763 to 1268 of the family's 2925-position model. The record is from RNAcentral. Lineage: Eukaryota; Dinophyceae; Gymnodiniales; Kareniaceae.